AGGACGAACGCUGGCGGCGUGCUUAACACAUGCAAGUCGAGCGGUGAUCCUCCUUCGGGAGGUGAUCAGCGGCGAACGGGUGAGUAACACGUGAGUAAUCUGCCCCUAGCUCUGGGAUAGCUCCGGGAAACCGGGAUUAAUACCAGAUACGACCACUUUAGACAUCUGCUGUGGUGGAAAGAAUUUCGGCUAGGGAUGAGCUCGCGGCCUAUCAGCUUGUUGGUGAGGUAACGGCUCACCAAGGCGACGACGGGUAGCCGGCCUGAGAGGGCGACCGGCCACACUGGGACUGAGACACGGCCCAGACUCCUACGGGAGGCAGCAGUGGGGGAAUAUUGCGCAAUGGGCGAAAGCCUGACGCAGCGACGCCGCGUGGGGGAUGAAGGCCUUCGGGUUGUAACCCUUUCAGCAGGGACGAAGCGAAAGUGACGGUACCUGCAGAAGAAGCGCCGGCUAACUACGUGCCAGCAGCCGCGGU
Molecule: ribosomal RNA, 478 nt
Filed under: uncultured bacterium
Lineage: Bacteria
Description: SSU rRNA
Rfam family: Bacterial small subunit ribosomal RNA
Source: RNAcentral